GAUGAACGCUGGCGGCGUGCCUAAUACAUGCAAGUCGAGCGAACGGACGAGAAGCUUGCUUCUCUGAUGUUAGCGGCGGACGGGUGAGUAACACGUGGAUAACCUACCUAUAAGACUGGGAUAACUUCGGGAAACCGGAGCUAAUACCGGAUAAUAUUUUGAACCGCAUGGUUCAAAAGUGAAAGACGGUCUUGCUGUCACUUAUAGAUGGAUCCGCGCUGCAUUAGCUAGUUGGUAAGGUAACGGCUUACCAAGGCAACGAUGCAUAGCCGACCUGAGAGGGUGAUCGGCCACACGGGACCUGGGACACGGUCCAGACUCCUACGGGAGGCAGCAGUAGGGAAUCUUCCGCAAUGGGCGAAAGCCUGACGGAGCAACGCCGCGUGAGUGAUGAAGGUCUUCGGAUCUUAAAACUCUGUUAUUAGGGAAGAACAUAUGUGUAAGUAACUGUGCACAUCUUGACGGUACCUAAUCAGAAAGCCACGGCUAACUACGUG
This 497-nucleotide ribosomal RNA is filed under the name uncultured bacterium. RNAcentral's name for it is "partial 16S ribosomal RNA". It matches the Rfam family "Bacterial small subunit ribosomal RNA", at positions 28 to 507 of the family's 1533-position model. The record is from RNAcentral.